Molecule: ribosomal RNA, 497 nt
Filed under: uncultured bacterium
Lineage: Bacteria
Description: partial 16S ribosomal RNA
Rfam family: Bacterial small subunit ribosomal RNA
Source: RNAcentral
GAUGAACGCUGGCGGCGUGCCUAAUACAUGCAAGUCGAGCGAACGGACGAGAAGCUUGCUUCUCUGAUGUUAGCGGCGGACGGGUGAGUAACACGUGGAUAACCUACCUAUAAGACUGGGAUAACUUCGGGAAACCGGAGCUAAUACCGGAUAAUAUUUUGAACCGCAUGGUUCAAUAGUGAAAGACGGUCCUGCUGUCACUUAUAGAUGGAUCCGCGCUGCAUUAGCUAGUUGGUAAGGUAACGGCUUACCAAGGCAACGAUGCAUAGCCGACCUGAGAGGGUGAUCGGCCACACUGGAACUGAGACACGGUCCAGACUCCUACGGGAGGCAGCAGUAGGGAAUCUUCCGCAAUGGGCGAAAGCCUGACGGAGCAACGCCGCGUGAGUGAUGAAGGUCUUCGGAUCGUAAAACUCUGUUAUUAGGGAAGAACAUAUGUGUAAGUAACUGUGCACAUCUUGACGGUACCUAAUCAGAAAGCCACGGCUAACUACGUG